Long non-coding RNA from Lolium rigidum, 683 nucleotides. RefSeq lists it as uncharacterized. Lineage: Eukaryota; Viridiplantae; Streptophyta; Magnoliopsida; Poales; Poaceae. The record is from RefSeq and is a predicted model, not a curated record. The transcript is spliced from 2 exons.
CUUCGCAACCCGCGCCUCUCUCUCAGCCGUUGGAGGUCUUGCUGGUGGCGGCCGUCGUGCAGCCGCCAUCAGUGGCUCCCCUGCAGACGCCGUCACUUUCUCCCUUGCAGAAGUUCCCAAAGCAUAUCCCAAUCCACCUGUUGAUGAGAAUGUACUCAAGUCCAAGGAAGCCAUGUGGGCCUUCUAUGAGCACUGGUGCAAGUUUCAUGGCAUAUCGCGUGACCGUCGUGAGAUGGCCCGUCGGUUCAAGACAUUUAGUGAUAACGCAAGGCGUGUUUACGAGUUCAACAAUUCCAACUGCCGUGGCAGUCUGGCAAUGAACCCUCUGUCAGAUGCGACAACGGAGGAGAUCAAGAUGAGAAAUGGAUAUAGGCGGCGUACAAAAAAAUGAUCGCACCCCUUCCUGAUGUACUCUUGUGUGAGCCCUUAAGCCUUAAGUUAUGCUUCUGUGUACCAAGACAUGCCUCUUAAGUUCCUAGCAGUACUGUGUGUUGCAAAAAAAUGAUCUCAGCCUUUUCUGAUGUACUCUUGUGUAAGCCCUUAAGCCUUAAGGUAUGCUUGGUACCAAGACAUGCCUCUUAAGUUCCUAGCAGUUCUAUGUGCUGCUUUGUUGCAUGAACAUUUUAACUUUAAAUAGAAGUCUAUAUCAUGUAUAUUGGACAAUUAUCUAUCUCUUUGAUGUA